UUUAAACGCAGCCAUGAUUUUUCAUGUUUAACUUUAAUUGUCCGUCUUAUUUGAAAUUUCUUUUAUGCUUAGUAUUUUUAUUUUUGUUAGAUGAGAAAACACUAAUAGUAUUUUACGCGUGACUUAUGUUUUUUAAUUUUUUUAAAGUAUUUUCAGAUAAGACGGACGAUUAAAAUUGGACACGAAAACUCAUAGUUGCACUUAAA
Non-coding RNA from Oryza meridionalis, 206 nucleotides. The record is from Rfam. Lineage: Eukaryota; Viridiplantae; Streptophyta; Magnoliopsida; Poales; Poaceae.